Molecule: ribosomal RNA, 310 nt
Filed under: uncultured eukaryote
Lineage: Eukaryota
Description: partial large subunit ribosomal RNA
Rfam family: Eukaryotic large subunit ribosomal RNA
Source: RNAcentral
AUAUCACUAAGCGGAGGAGAAGAAAUUAACUAAGAUUGCCCCAGUAACGGCGAGUGAAGCGGCAAAAGCCCAAAAUGGUAAUCUUCGUGUUUCACACGACGAAUUGUAAUCUAUAGUCUGGAAUCUCACCUGACGGUUGCGCAGAAGUGACUUAGAACGGUCCGCCAGAGAGGGUGACAGCCCCGUACGUGGUGCAACUGUCUAACGAGAUCUAGAUAAAGAGUCGGGUUGUUUUGAAUUGCAGCCCUAAUCUAGGGGAUAGACUUCCUCUAAGGCUAAAUAUUUAUGGGAGACCGAUAGCGCACAAGUA